CUGGGCUAGAAUGCCUCUGACAGCCUGAGAGAUCAGGUCUCCUGGGUAAAACCAGGCAGAGUGCAAGGUGCUGCAUGGCUGUCGUCAGCUCGUGUCGUGAGAUGUUGGGUUAAGUCCCGCAACGAGCGCAACCCUUAUCGAUAGUUGCUAGCGGUUCGGCCGAGCACUCUAUUGAGACUGCCGUUGACAAAACGGAGGAAGGUGGGGAUGACGUCAAGUCCUCAUGGCCUUUAUGUCCAGGGCUACACACGUGCUACAAUGGCAAGUACAAAGCGCUGCAAACUCGCGAGAGGGAGCCAAUCGCAAAAAGCUUGUCUCAGUUCGGAUUGGAGUCUGCAACUCGACUCCAUGAAGCUGGAAUCGCUAGUAAUCCCGGAUCAGCACGCCGGGGUGAAUACGUUCCC
Molecule: ribosomal RNA, 404 nt
Filed under: uncultured bacterium
Lineage: Bacteria
Description: bacterial SSU rRNA
Rfam family: Bacterial small subunit ribosomal RNA
Source: RNAcentral